UACGUAGGGUGCGAGCGUUAUCCGGAUUUACUGGGUUUAAAGGGUGCGUAGGUGGGUUGGUAAGUCAGUGGUGAAAUACUUUCGCUUAACGAAGGAACUGCCAUUGAUACUACCAGUCUUGAAUACAGUGGAGGUAGGCGGAAUGCGUCAUGUAGCGGUGAAAUGCUUAGAUAUGACGCAGAACACCAAUUGCGAAGGCAGCUUGCUACACUGUUAUUGACACUGAGGCACGAAAGCGUGGGGAUCAAACAGG
This 253-nucleotide ribosomal RNA is filed under the name uncultured bacterium. RNAcentral's name for it is "partial 16S ribosomal RNA". It matches the Rfam family "Bacterial small subunit ribosomal RNA", at positions 524 to 776 of the family's 1533-position model. The record is from RNAcentral.